GAAACAAGGAAGUGGAGACAACGUUUCGGCUCCUCUCUGAGCCUUUAUCAAGUCUUAGGCUCAGAGAGGAGCCGAAACGUUGUCUCCACUUCCUUGUUU
This 99-nucleotide microRNA precursor is filed under the name Pelobates cultripes (western spadefoot toad). The record is from RNAcentral. Lineage: Eukaryota; Metazoa; Chordata; Amphibia; Anura; Pelobatidae.